UAGCUCAGUUGGUAGAGCAGUUGGCUUUUAACCAAUUGGUCGAAGGUUCGAAUC
RNAcentral lists this transfer RNA (54 nucleotides) under Shewanella sp. CG18_big_fil_WC_8_21_14_2_50_42_11. Its description in RNAcentral is "tRNA-Lys". It matches the Rfam family "tRNA", at positions 8 to 59 of the family's 71-position model. From Rfam's summary of the family: Transfer RNA (tRNA) molecules are approximately 80 nucleotides in length. Their secondary structure includes four short double-helical elements and three loops (D, anti-codon, and T loops). Lineage: Bacteria; Pseudomonadati; Pseudomonadota; Gammaproteobacteria; Alteromonadales; Shewanellaceae. The record is from RNAcentral.